CCUUGUUUAAAUGAAUAUUUUAAGUGAAUGAAUGCCAUUUGAAAGAUAUUUGCUUAAUGGACCCUUUUUUGAUUAUGACAAAAGGGGGGAGAAAAGUAAUGAUUGAAAAAUUGAAUGCAUGAAGAGAAAAUUAAAGGAGUUUUUCAAUUGAAUAACACAAAUGAUGAUGAGCAAAUUUUUGAAAUUUUACUUAUCUAUAUAAGUAAGGGGAGUUUUAUUUGAGUAAUUUGUUUAAAGUUUGUUGUGAUCUUAAAAUUUAACCCAAUCAAACUUAUAUCAAGAAUACUAUCUUUUCUAUACAAGAAAGGGGGAGCAUGAUUGAAAAUAUGAAGAAUUCUUAAUACAUUAUAUUAAAAUUUUAAAAUCUUUUUGUGAUUGAAAGGUGGUACUCAAAGGAUGUUGUCAUUAUUAAAAAGGAGGACAUUGUUAGCUCUAGAAUUAAUUUUGAUGAUGUUAAAAGUAUUUGAGUAUAAAUCAUGAUUAUUAAUGAUGCAUUUGAGGGUGAUUGUAGGAUUUCUUAUAAUACUCAAUGGUUGAUUUCAUCCAAAAAGAAGUCCUCUUAAAUUUAAUUAAAUUUACUCUCAAGUCAAAGAUUCAUAUUUAGAAGCAAAGAAAUUGAGUUUGAUAUGAAAAGAUUUGAAUAAAUGAAAAGUCUAAUUUAGAAGGACCUCUAAACAAGCUCAAUUAUACAAAAAUUAAUUUUGAGAAGGCAAAUCUAGCCUCGAACAUGUUUGAAUAAUGAAAAUUAUCUAAAAUUAAUUUUGGUAUGCUUGACACAUCUUUGAGUCGACUAAGAAAGGAGCUUAGCCAAUCCAAUAUCAGUUCAAGGGAAAGACAAAAAGAGAUGAAAUUUAAAAAAACUCCCUUAGCUGAUCAAAAUUUUAUCUUAGCCGACCAAGAUAGAGUCCUAGCCGACUCAAGCAUUUGGAUAGCCGACUCAAUCUCAGUCUUUGGAUAAAAGUAGAAGAGUGAAGAUUUUAUAAAUUCUUCUAAGCCGAUCUAGCAAAUAACUUAGUCGGCUUUAAAUUCUUUGUGCCGAUUCAAAAAUUUUGGAAAGUUUACGGACCUUAUCCUUCAAGCUAUUGAGUGAAACACAAGAGAGAAAGUAGAAAAAAAUUAAGAGUGCUUUUAAUUUAGUUCUUCUCAUAUUUAUUCAACUAACAAGAAAGAAGGUAUAUUGAUUUGAGCCAAUCACUUUAGAGCAAAGCAUUGAAGCUUUCAUCAAUCCUCUCUCAAGCAUUCAAGGAAGA
This 1250-nucleotide long non-coding RNA is filed under the name Elaeis guineensis (African oil palm). Its description in RNAcentral is "long non-coding RNA (EGUI_LNC031404)". Lineage: Eukaryota; Viridiplantae; Streptophyta; Magnoliopsida; Arecales; Arecaceae. The record is from RNAcentral.